ACUCAAAUGAAUUGACGGGGGCCCGCACAAGCGGUGGAGCAUGUGGUUUAAUUCGAUGCAACGCGAAGAACCUUACCAGGUCUUGACAUCUGUAGAAUCCUUACGAAAGUAGGGAGUGCCUUCGGGAGCUACAAGACAGGUGGUGCAUGGUUGUCGUCAGCUCGUGUCGUGAGAUGUUGGGUUAAGUCCCGCAACGAGCGCAACCCUUGCUAUUAGUUGCUAACAUUUCGGAUGAGCACUCUAAUGGGACUGCCCGUGACAAGCGGGAGGAAGGUGGGGAUGACGUCAAAUCAUCAUGCCCUUUAUGAUCUGGGCUACACACGUGCUACAAUGGAUGGUACAGAGAGCAGCAAGGCCGCGAGGCGGAGCGAAUCUCAAAAAGCCAUUCUCAGUUCGGAUUGCAGUCUGCAACUCGACUGCAUGAAGUCGGAAUCGCUAGUAAUCGCGAAUCAGCACGUCGCGGUGAAUGCGUUCCCGGGCCUUGUACACACCGCCCGU
Molecule: ribosomal RNA, 498 nt
Filed under: uncultured bacterium
Lineage: Bacteria
Description: bacterial SSU rRNA
Rfam family: Bacterial small subunit ribosomal RNA
Source: RNAcentral